This is a small nucleolar RNA of Phragmites australis (common reed), 106 nucleotides long. RefSeq annotates it as small nucleolar RNA Z118/Z121/Z120. The transcript has a single exon. The record is from RefSeq and is a predicted model, not a curated record. NCBI's taxonomy places the organism in Eukaryota, Viridiplantae, Streptophyta, Magnoliopsida, Poales, Poaceae.
UAUUUGUUGUGAUGGUUCCUUGAGGACGGUAUCUGAGUGAGGUUGUGCUGGAAACUGCCUUCCUCAUAUGAUUGCAUCCAAACUGACAAUGAAUUCUGAGUAAUAA